CUGCGAACCGUUCGAUUGAAAGUCAACAUUUGCGAAUGCACUCGUAAAUUUAUAAAUAUAUAUAUUUCUGUAUUACGAUAUAAUAAAAUACACGUGGAAAAAAAAAUGGCUAUAUUAUUAUAUUGGAUUUUCGUAUACUAAUAUUAUUUUUGAAUUUCGUUCCGGAGAUUUUUUUUUUUUUUUUUUUAUUUUAUUUCCGUACACUUUUUAUUGCAUGUUAGAAUACGAUUUCGUAAAUUUCUCGUCCGUGUGAAAAUUGACAUAUUUCUCCGGAAUAAUAAACUUGCCGAUUGUGAAAUUAUCAUUAGACGCGAUCAACUGAUUAUUCGUCGAAAUCGACUUUUCGCGCAAGUAUUUCGGUCAAGUAUUAUUUUUUUUACGUCCACCGCGAUCCGGAAAUUAUUCUCCGUUGAUUUUUGUCCGCCUACCAAAAAGACAACAAAGUAUACUUUUUUACUUUCUUUUGUUUCUUUCGUUGUUUUUUUUUUUAUUAUUAUUAUUAUUGUCGAUUCCAC
Molecule: non-coding RNA, 515 nt
Organism: Cinara cedri
Lineage: Eukaryota; Metazoa; Arthropoda; Insecta; Hemiptera; Aphididae
Source: the annotation of a GenBank genome assembly